GACGGAGGAUGCAAGUGUUAUCCGGAAUCACUGGGCGUAAGGCGUCUGUAGGUGGUUUAAUAAGUCAACUGUUAAAUCUUGAGGCUCAACCUCAAAAUCGCAGUCGAAACUAUUAGGCUAGAGUAUGGUAGGGGUAAAGGGAAUUUCCAGCGGAGCGGUGAAAUGCGUAGAGAUUGGAAAGAACACCGAUGGCGAAGGCACUUUACUGGGCUAUUACUAACACUCAGAGACGAAAGCUAGGGUAGCAAAUGGG
RNAcentral lists this ribosomal RNA (253 nucleotides) under uncultured bacterium. RNAcentral's name for it is "partial 16S ribosomal RNA". It matches the Rfam family "Bacterial small subunit ribosomal RNA", at positions 524 to 776 of the family's 1533-position model. The record is from RNAcentral.